AACGCGAAGAACCUUACCCACCUUUGACAUGUACGGAAUUUUCCAGAGAUGGAUUAGUGCUCGAAAGAGAGCCGUAACACAGGUGCUGCAUGGCUGUCGUCAGCCCGUGUCGUGAGAUGUUGGGUUAAGUCCCGCAACGAGCGCAACCCUUGUCAUUAGUUGCUACAUUUAGUUGGGCACUCUAAUGAGACUGCCGGUGACAAACCGGAGGAAGGUGGGGAUGACGUCAAGUCCUCAUGGUCCUUAUAGGUGGGGCUACACACGUCAUACAAUGGCUGGUACAAAGGGUUGCCAACCCGCGAGGGGGAGCUAAUCCCAUAAAGCCAGUCGUAGUCCGGAUCGUAGUCUGCAACUCGACUACGUGAAGUCGGAAUCGCUAGUAAUCGUGGAUCAGAGUGUCACGGUGAAUACGUUCCCGGGUCUUGUACACACGC
Molecule: ribosomal RNA, 434 nt
Filed under: uncultured bacterium
Lineage: Bacteria
Description: bacterial SSU rRNA
Rfam family: Bacterial small subunit ribosomal RNA
Source: RNAcentral